AUUGAACGCUGGCGGCAGGCCUAACACAUGCAAGUCGAGCGGAUGAAGGGAGCUUGCUCCCGGAUUCAGCGGCGGACGGGUGAGUAAUGCCUAGGUAUCUGCCUGGUAGUGGGGGAUAACGUCCGGAAACGGGCGCUAAUACCGCAUACGUCCUGAGGGAGAAAGUGGGGGAUCUUCGGACCUCACGCUAUCAGAUGAGCCUAGGUCGGAUUAGCUAGUUGGUGGGGUAAAGGCCUACCAAGGCGACGAUCCGUAACUGGUCUGAGAGGAUGAUCAGUCACACUGGAACUGAGACACGGUCCAGACUCCUACGGGAGGCAGCAGUGGGGAAUAUUGGACAAUGGGCGAAAGCCUGAUCCAGCCAUGCCGCGUGUGUGAAGAAGGUCUUCGGAUUGUAAAGCACUUUAAGUUGGGAGGAAGGGCAGUAAGUUAAUACCUUGCUGUUUUGACGUUACCAACAGAAUAAGCACCGGCUAACUUCGUG
Molecule: ribosomal RNA, 484 nt
Filed under: uncultured bacterium
Lineage: Bacteria
Description: partial 16S ribosomal RNA
Rfam family: Bacterial small subunit ribosomal RNA
Source: RNAcentral